This is a small nuclear RNA of Carassius carassius (crucian carp), 164 nucleotides long. RefSeq annotates it as U1 spliceosomal RNA. NCBI's taxonomy places the organism in Eukaryota, Metazoa, Chordata, Actinopteri, Cypriniformes, Cyprinidae. The transcript has a single exon. The record is from RefSeq and is a predicted model, not a curated record.
AUACAUAUCUGGUAGGAGAGACACCAUGAUCUAGAAGGUGGUUCACCCAGAGCGAGGCUCGGCCAUUGCAAUUUGGCUGAUUUUACCCCUGCGAAUUCCCCAAAUAUGGGAAUCUCGACUGCAUAAUUUAUGGUAGUGGGGGACUGCGUUCGCACUCUGCCCUG